GUGGGGAAUCUUGCACAAUGGGGGAAACCCUGAUGCAGCGACGCCGCGUGAGCGAUGAAGCCCUUCGGGGUGUAAAGCUCUUUCGGCAGGAACGAUAAUGACGGUACCUGCAAAAGAAGCUGCGGCUAACUACGUGCCAGCAGCCGCGGUAAUACGUAGGCAGCAAGCGUUGUUCGGAGUUACUGGGCGUAAAGAGUGUGUAGGCGGUUCUCUAAGUUCGGUGUGAAAUCUCCCGGCUCAACUGGGAGGGUGCGCCGGAAACUGGAGGGCUCGAGUGUGGGAGAGGAAAGCGGAAUUCCUGGUGUAGCGGUGAAAUGCGUAGAUAUCAGGAGGAACACCUGCGGUGUAGACGGCUUUCUGGACCACGACUGACGCUGAGACACGAAAGCGUGGGGAGCAAACAGGAUUAGAAACCCUGGUAGUCC
Molecule: ribosomal RNA, 425 nt
Filed under: uncultured bacterium
Lineage: Bacteria
Description: bacterial SSU rRNA
Rfam family: Bacterial small subunit ribosomal RNA
Source: RNAcentral